This is an unclassified non-coding RNA of Callithrix jacchus (white-tufted-ear marmoset), 148 nucleotides long. It matches the Rfam family "Metazoan signal recognition particle RNA". From Rfam's summary of the family: The signal recognition particle (SRP) is a universally conserved ribonucleoprotein. It is involved in the co-translational targeting of proteins to membranes. The record is from Ensembl. NCBI's taxonomy places the organism in Eukaryota, Metazoa, Chordata, Mammalia, Primates, Cebidae.
GCCAGGCGUGGUGGUGCGCGCCUGUAGUCCCAGCUACUUGGGAGGCUGAGGUAGGAGAAUCACUUGAACCCAGGAGGUGGAGGUUGCAGUGAGCUGAGAUCGCACCACUGCACUCCAGCCUGGGUGACAGAGUGAGACUUUAUCUCAA